UCGUUUCCACGUGGAGGGGUAGUGCUUUCACUGCUUCUUGGGGAGAGUCACAGGCGUACAUAUGUACACAUACGCACUCUGUCGUUGUGUUUGAGAAGGAAGUGGCAGAGGAAAAAUGAUUCUUAUCGGCCUGACGGGCGGAAUUGCCUGCGGCAAGUCAUCUGUGUCGCGAAUACUGCGAGACGAGUUUCACAUCGAAGUCAUCGAUGCCGACCUUGUCGUGCGUGAGCUGCAGGCCCCGAAUUCUGCGUGCACUCGACGAAUUGCAGCGCGGUGGCCCCUCUGUGUGCAUCCAGAGACUGGGGAGCUGAACCGCGCAGAAUUAGGCAAGGUCGUCUUCAGCGAUGCACAAGCUCGACGGGAGCUAGGAAAGAUAAUGAACCCCGCGAUCUUCAAGGCCAUUCUGAAGCGCAUUGCCGCCGCGUGGUGGCGUGACCUUUGGCGCAGUGGCGCCGCCUCGUCGCCAUCCAUUGUGGUGUUGGACGCGCCUACAUUGUUCGAAACCAAAACGUUCAUGUACUUUGUCAGCGCCUCCGUCGUGGUGAGCUGCUCAGAGCAGCGUCAGAUCGAGCGACUGCGCAGCCGAGACGGUUUCUCGAAAAAGGAGGCGCUGCAGCGUAUCGGUAGCCAGAUGUCUCUCGAGGCAAAGCGUCGGCUUGCCGACUACAUUAUCGAGAACGACUGCGCAGACGACUUGGACGCGCUUCGCGGAGUUGUGUGCGCGUGUGUUGCGUGGAUGUCGCGGCAGUCAAACAAGCGGCUCACGUACAUGUUUGGCACCGUGGCUGCUGCUGCGGUUGGUGUGGCGGCCGCCGUGGGCUACGCUGGUUACCGACUACUGCUAGCGUGAGGGGUUGUGCUUGUUUUAUUAUCAUGCUUGCGUGGAGGUACCUGCCCUCCGUGUAGGGAGAAGCGUUUCAGCUGUCAUCAAGGAGACAGUUCUGACCCCCCCUCCCUUGACGGGGCUAGGAGAACAGUCUCUGCACUGUGCAUACUGGGCGCUCUCUUUCACAUGCAUGAGGGAAAACAAACAUCGACUCGCAACUACAACGUACCUCUUUUUUAUUGCUUAGCAAGGGCAUAACUCAGUCUUGUCGCAGCCAU
This 1104-nucleotide unclassified non-coding RNA is filed under the name Leishmania donovani. RNAcentral's name for it is "gene:LdHU3.22.1980(CDS-product:dephospho-CoA_kina se_putative)". The record is from RNAcentral. Lineage: Eukaryota; Euglenozoa; Kinetoplastea; Trypanosomatida; Trypanosomatidae.